UGGGGAAUAUUGGACAAUGGGCGCAAGCCUGAUCCAGCCAUGCCGCGUGAGUGAUGAAGGCCCUAGGGUUGUAAAGCUCUUUCACCGGUGAAGAUAAUGACGGUAACCGGAGAAGAAGCCCCGGCUAACUUCGUGCCAGCAGCCGCGGUAAUACGAAGGGGGCUAGCGUUGUUCGGAUUUACUGGGCGUAAAGCGCACGUAGGCGGACUAUUAAGUCAGGGGUGAAAUCCCGGGGCUCAACCCCGGAACUGCCUUUGAUACUGGUAGUCUUGAGGUCGAGAGAGGUGAGUGGAAUUCCGGGUGUAGAGGUGAAAUUCGUAGAUAUUCGGAGGAACACCAGUGGCGAAGGCGGCUCACUGGCUCGAUACUGACGCUGAGGUGCGAAAGCGUGGGGAGCAAACAGG
This 404-nucleotide ribosomal RNA is filed under the name Actinomycetes bacterium. RNAcentral describes it as "Actinobacteria bacterium partial 16S ribosomal RNA". It matches the Rfam family "Bacterial small subunit ribosomal RNA", at positions 355 to 776 of the family's 1533-position model. Lineage: Bacteria; Bacillati; Actinomycetota; Actinomycetes. The record is from RNAcentral.